This 1535-nucleotide ribosomal RNA is filed under the name Lactiplantibacillus plantarum. Its description in RNAcentral is "Lactobacillus plantarum partial 16S ribosomal RNA". It matches the Rfam family "Bacterial small subunit ribosomal RNA". Lineage: Bacteria; Bacillati; Bacillota; Bacilli; Lactobacillales; Lactobacillaceae. The record is from RNAcentral.
UAGAGUUUUGAAUCCUGGCUCAGGACGAACGCUGGCGGCGUGCCUAAUACAUGCAAGUCGAACGAACUCUGGUAUUGAUUGGUGCUUGCAUCAUGAUUUACAUUUGAGUGAGUGGCGAACUGGUGAGUAACACGUGGGAAACCUGCCCAGAAGCGGGGGAUAACACCUGGAAACAGAUGCUAAUACCGCAUAACAACUUGGACCGCAUGGUCCGAGCUUGAAAGAUGGCUUCGGCUAUCACUUUUGGAUGGUCCCGCGGCGUAUUAGCUAGAUGGUGGGGUAACGGCUCACCAUGGCAAUGAUACGUAGCCGACCUGAGAGGGUAAUCGGCCACAUUGGGACUGAGACACGGCCCAAACUCCUACGGGAGGCAGCAGUAGGGAAUCUUCCACAAUGGACGAAAGUCUGAUGGAGCAACGCCGCGUGAGUGAAGAAGGGUUUCGGCUCGUAAAACUCUGUUGUUAAAGAAGAACAUAUCUGAGAGUAACUGUUCAGGUAUUGACGGUAUUUAACCAGAAAGCCACGGCUAACUACGUGCCAGCAGCCGCGGUAAUACGUAGGUGGCAAGCGUUGUCCGGAUUUAUUGGGCGUAAAGCGAGCGCAGGCGGUUUUUUAAGUCUGAUGUGAAAGCCUUCGGCUCAACCGAAGAAGUGCAUCGGAAACUGGGAAACUUGAGUGCAGAAGAGGACAGUGGAACUCCAUGUGUAGCGGUGAAAUGCGUAGAUAUAUGGAAGAACACCAGUGGCGAAGGCGGCUGUCUGGUCUGUAACUGACGCUGAGGCUCGAAAGUAUGGGUAGCAAACAGGAUUAGAUACCCUGGUAGUCCAUACCGUAAACGAUGAAUGCUAAGUGUUGGAGGGUUUCCGCCCUUCAGUGCUGCAGCUAACGCAUUAAGCAUUCCGCCUGGGGAGUACGGCCGCAAGGCUGAAACUCAAAGGAAUUGACGGGGGCCCGCACAAGCGGUGGAGCAUGUGGUUUAAUUCGAAGCUACGCGAAGAACCUUACCAGGUCUUGACAUACUAUGCAAAUCUAAGAGAUUAGACGUUCCCUUCGGGGACAUGGAUACAGGUGGUGCAUGGUUGUCGUCAGCUCGUGUCGUGAGAUGUUGGGUUAAGUCCCGCAACGAGCGCAACCCUUAUUAUCAGUUGCCAGCAUUAAGUUGGGCACUCUGGUGAGACUGCCGGUGACAAACCGGAGGAAGGUGGGGAUGACGUCAAAUCAUCAUGCCCCUUAUGACCUGGGCUACACACGUGCUACAAUGGAUGGUACAACGAGUUGCGAACUCGCGAGAGUAAGCUAAUCUCUUAAAGCCAUUCUCAGUUCGGAUUGUAGGCUGCAACUCGCCUACAUGAAGUCGGAAUCGCUAGUAAUCGCGGAUCAGCAUGCCGCGGUGAAUACGUUCCCGGGCCUUGUACACACCGCCCGUCACACCAUGAGAGUUUGUAACACCCAAAGUCGGUGGGGUAACCUUUUAGGAACCAGCCGCCUAAGGUGGGACAGAUGAUUAGGGUGAAGUCGUAACAAGGUAACCGUAA